Molecule: ribosomal RNA, 253 nt
Filed under: uncultured bacterium
Lineage: Bacteria
Description: partial 16S ribosomal RNA
Rfam family: Bacterial small subunit ribosomal RNA
Source: RNAcentral
UACGUAGGGUGCAAGCGUUAAUCGGAAUUACUGGGCGUAAAGCGUGCGCAGGCGGCUUUGCAAGACAGAUGUGAAAUCCCCGGGCUCAUCCUGGGAACUGCAUUUGUGACUGCAUGGCUAGAGUGCGGCAGAGGGGGAUGGAAUUCCGCGUGUAGCAGUGAAAUGCGUAGAUAUGCGGAGGAACACCGAUGGCGAAGGCAAUCCCCUGGGCCUGCACUGACGCUCAUGCACGAAAGCGUGGGGAGCAAACAGG